Molecule: ribosomal RNA, 497 nt
Filed under: uncultured bacterium
Lineage: Bacteria
Description: partial 16S ribosomal RNA
Rfam family: Bacterial small subunit ribosomal RNA
Source: RNAcentral
GAUGAACGCUGGCGGCGUGCCUAAUACAUGCAAGUAGAACGCUGAAGCUUGGUGCUUGCACCGAGCGGAUGAGUUGCGAACGGGUGAGUGACGCGUAGGUAACCUGCCUCUUAGCGGGGGAUAACUAUUGGAAACGAUAGCUAAUACCGCAUAAAAGUCGAUAUCGCAUGAUAUUGAUUUGAAAGGUGCAAAUGCAUCACUAAGAGAUGGACCUGCGUUGUAUUAGCUAGUUGGUGAGGUAACGGCUCACCAAGGCGACGAUACAUAGCCGACCUGAGAGGGUGAUCGGCCACACUGGGACUGAGACACGGCCCAGACUCCUACGGGAGGCAGCAGUAGGGAAUCUUCGGCAAUGGGGGCAACCCUGACCGAGCAACGCCGCGUGAGUGAAGAAGGUUUUCGGAUCGUAAAGCUCUGUUGUAAGAGAAGAACGAGUGUGAGAGUGGAAAGUUCACACUGUGACGGUAACUUACCAGAAAGGGACGGCUAACUACGUG